UGAGGAGCAGCAAAAGAAAUGGUUGCCGUUGGCAUAUAAGAUGCAAAUUAUUGGUUGCUAUGCACAGACUGAACUUGGUCAUGGCUCCAAUGUUCAAGGGCUUGAGACCACUGCAACUUUUGAUCCAAAGACUGACGAGUUUGUUCUUAAUAGUCCUCCACUCACUUCAAGCAAAGUGAGUAAUUUUAAUAAUGUUGCUUUUUUGUUUUCUUCUGAUUUUUUUUCUUUUGAGUGAAAUUUUAGUAUCUAUGAUAACAAGCUUGUGAUGGGAAUUGUGCUUAGUGUCAUUUUGAUCUAGAUAUUUUCAACCAUAAUGUGGUGGUUAUAUUUUUCGUUGAUUGAAAUAUCUAGUUUAGGCACUUAUUUUCCUUCCUUAUUGGUUGUGAAUAGUGGUGGCCUGGUGGUUUGGGAAAAGCUGCUACACAUACUGUUGCUUUUGCCCGUCUUAUUACUGAUGGAAAAGACCAUGGAGUAAAUGGUAACGACCAAGUGUAACAUUGUUUGGAACUUCUAUCGUGAAGUGAAUGGUCUAUUGAUUUUAAUUAUAGAACCAAUUCUCUUGUUUUAGGUUUCAUUGUCCAACUUCGGAACUUGGAUGAUCACUUACCUCUUCCAGGCAUAACAGUUGGUGAUAUCGGCAUGAAAUUUGGAAAUGGAGCAUACAACUCCAUGGACAAUGGUGUCCUGAGAUUUGAUAAUGUCCGCAUACCAAGGGAUCAAAUGUUGAUGAGGUAUCCACUUUGUAUGCAUUGUACUUGAUGAUAGAUAGGAUUGUUGUGCUUGAGUGCCCAUAUUUCUUAUUCAAAGAGGUAGAAAGGAUGGCUAUUCUCAUGUUCUUCUCAAAUGUGCCAGGGUCGCACAAGUUACAAGAGAAGGAAAAUAUGUCCAAUCCAAUGUUCCC
Molecule: long non-coding RNA, 901 nt
Filed under: Prunus dulcis (almond)
Lineage: Eukaryota; Viridiplantae; Streptophyta; Magnoliopsida; Rosales; Rosaceae
Description: sRNA ncRNA
Source: RNAcentral